UCAUGACAAAAGGGAACCUCCCACCAGCCUGAGGGCGGGACGCUGAGGACCCCAGAGCCCUGCCUCCAGGCUGCUGUCGUAGUGUGACACAGCAACUUCCGAGCAGGAAGGAGAAGCCCGAUCCUAACUGGGGGAAGCUGUUUGCUUAGACAACUUUCUACACUUCAAAUAUUACACCUUAAACAACACACUGGACUAAGAAAUCUGAUCAUGUCCAGGCUUUUAACACCCUCCUCCCCCAAGGAACAAUAAAACACACCAGCGAAAACAAAGAGGCUGCCCUGAAAAGGUUGCAGUGGUGGAUGAUACUGGCAGAAUCAGAAAGGAAGCUAAGAGAAACAGGCGCGUCCUCAGCCGGGCCUCGCGUGUCCUGACACUGCAGCAGGCACGGGAUGUGGGCUGUCCCCUCCAGCACAGUGCGGGAAGGUGCUGGGGCAUCCAAACAGCAAAAGCAAACCUGAGACCCCAAAACAACUGCGUCUGGCCCAGGGGAGUGGGCAAAAAUUCCAACAGGGAGAGACCGUCUCUGGCUUAUUUACAGACAGGGUAAGUAAGGAUGCCCAAAGACAAGGCGGAGUAUUAGUAACAGAACUCAUGAAGUUCUAUGGAUCGGGAUGCUUUAAAAAAAAAAAAAAAACACCAAAGCUCAUCCAGAAUGUCUGAGGUCCCUGCAGUAACAUCCAUGCUAAUUGGUAAGUAAGACAAAGCCUCCCCUAACAAAUCAGCAAUGUAAUUAUAAAGCCAGUCACUAGAUCAAGCCAGUCUCCUGUGCUCCAGCGAUAUUCUGAACCUGUAACCCGAUACCACUGUUUGCUGCCGGCGCCUCCUCCGGGCUCUCCCGCUGCGCACCGGCCGCGCGGGGGCCCGCAGGGCAACGCAGCCUAGGCUGUUUGUGCAAGAUGAGACCCUGCAUUUGACGAAGACCUGCAGGAGCAAUCCUCCCGGCUUUCUUGACAGUGAAGAAGAAGAAGAAGAAAAAAAAAGCCUGACGAUACACUGAAAUUCGAACAGGAAGUCAAGCCCCAAGUAAAUUUAAGAAACAACUUUUACUGUUUGGGGUUGUUUUCUAAAGUCCAAAUUUUUAAAAUUCUAGUUUCUCCUCUCAGAUUUUUACAUGCUCCUAUUAAAUUGAAGGCAAUUUCCAAUACUGGAGAAGAAAGCUAUUAGUGCUCCAUGUAAACAAGCACGCCCAAUUCAAGUUGGAACUCUUUAAAUUCUGGAAGACAGCACAUCACAUCCAGCCACGAGGGGGCGCAGCCGAGCAGCAAGGAGCGCAAAAGUCUCAUUCUUCACUGCAAUUUCUACCUACAGCUCUCUCAAAGUAUACACAUUUUCAAGAUUGUUUCCAAAUUCAGGUAUCCACAGGACACUGCUAAGCAAGCUGGGAGCUUUGCCAAGGCCAAAAUAAAUUAAAUUAUGGUACGGUUCAAACUCUGGAAGUACUGUGUAUAGGAAAGGUUGUUUCUCUGUAUAUAAAAGUUAAUACUGGUAUUUCAAAAACCAUGGUUAAAAUCCCUGGAGGAUUCCUGAAAUGAGAACAAACACACAACAACAAACACACACCCAAGUCAUGAGAUGUGAACGUGGAGAAACCAACAGUUCAGAAUUUCCAGUGGGGCUUGCAACAUGGACUCCCAAUAAAACAAUGAGUCUCAAUAAAUUCGGCACUAAGCUUUUACCAGUAUAGAUAGACGCCUUUACUGGGCCUACUUACUACUUCUUAAUAACUAUAAAUUAUCUCCAUACUGAACAGAUACUGCUUCAGGCAGUUAUUUGGGAAAACCCUUCAUAAAGGACAUUGGAGAGGGGCCAUUUAAUUAUAAAAUGUAACACAGUUAACCUUAGGGAGAUGAUGAAGCGAGAUCAUUAUGUGUAACUACUUGCUGGGAUUCUUUCUAUUUAAAUUAUAAGUUCAGGUUAUAUGAUGUUGUAUGUUCAAUAAUAAUGCUCAUAAUAGAUGAAAUGUUAUAAUGAGUCUCCACAUUUGAAAAUUGGAAACUAUAAACAUAUCUAUAUUUUAUAAUCAUUUGAAUUGUGAUACUACUUCAUAAUAAUUUGGUGUCAGAGUAUGUUUUUAGCAUUUUGAGUCUAAGGCCUCAUUAACAUUAGGGUAAGGAACUCUCAGAUUUGACAAUUUUUCCCAUAAGAUUACGUGCUUUACUAGUAAAGACUAGCCAGCAUUGCCCAACCUCCCAUUCUCGGGCAUAAUGAAAAUAUUUUUUCUCCUGUAUUUAUAAUUGCUUGGAUGGGAUUCUGUUUCAAUCCUCCUGUAGCAUCUUUUCCCUAAAGAUACACUGUUUUUCUCCCUCACACUAGAGACCCUUAAUAAACAAUGUCAAGGAGGUGGGGAACUUAGAGUAGAAAGGAAAGGCUUUGCCAAAAGUAUGUGACAGUUUUUGUGUUUAAAAAAAAAAAAAAA
RNAcentral lists this long non-coding RNA (2419 nucleotides) under Homo sapiens (human). RNAcentral's name for it is "HSALNT0303003". Lineage: Eukaryota; Metazoa; Chordata; Mammalia; Primates; Hominidae. The record is from RNAcentral.